Molecule: ribosomal RNA, 400 nt
Filed under: uncultured bacterium
Lineage: Bacteria
Description: bacterial SSU rRNA
Rfam family: Bacterial small subunit ribosomal RNA
Source: RNAcentral
GGGGAAUAUUGGACAAUGGGGGAAACCCUGAUCCAGCAAUGCCGCGUGAGUGAUGAAGGCCUUCGGGUUGUAAAGCUCUUUUGUCAGGGACGAUGAUGACGGUACCUGACGAAUAAGCUCCGGCUAACUUCGUGCCAGCAGCCGCGGUAAUACGAGGGGAGCUAGCGUUGUUCGGAAUUACUGGGCGUAAAGGGCGUGUAGGCGGUACCAUAAGUCAGAUGUGAAAGCCCUAGGCUUAACCUAGGAAUUGCAUUUGAUACUGUGGAACUAGAGAUCGAGAGAGGUAAGUGGAAUUACGAGUGUAGAGGUGAAAUUCGUAGAUAUUCGUAAGAACACCAGUGGCGAAGGCGACUUACUGGCUCGAUACUGACGCUAAGGCGCGAAAGCGUGGGGAGCAAAC